Molecule: ribosomal RNA, 119 nt
Filed under: Gadus morhua (Atlantic cod)
Lineage: Eukaryota; Metazoa; Chordata; Actinopteri; Gadiformes; Gadidae
Source: RNAcentral
CCAUAUAGCCAUACCACGCUGAACACGCCCGCUCUCGUCUAAUCUCAGAAGCUAAGCAGUGUCGGGGCUGGUUAGUACUUGGAUGGGAGACCGCCUGGGGAUAAUAGGUACUGUAAGGG